Molecule: unclassified non-coding RNA, 352 nt
Filed under: soil metagenome
Description: partial contains 5.8S ribosomal RNA, internal transcribed spacer 2, and large subunit ribosomal RNA
Rfam family: 5.8S ribosomal RNA (bases 1-120)
Source: RNAcentral
GAUGAAGAACGUAGCGAAACGCGAUAGGUAAUGUGAAUUGCAGAAUUCCGUGAAUCAUCGAAUCUUUGAACGCACAUUGCGCCCGCCAGUAUUCUGGCGGGCAUGCCUGUUCGAGCGUCAUUACAACCCUCAGGCCCCCGGGCCUGGCGUUGGGGAUCGGCGGAGCCCCCCGUGGGCACACGCCGACCCCCAAAUACAGUGGCGGUCCCGCCGCAGCUUCCAUCGCGUAGUAGCUAACACCUCGCGACUGGAGAGCGGCGCGGCCACGCCGUAAAACACCCAACUCUUCUGAAGUUGACCUCGAAUCAGGUAGGAAUACCCGCUGAACUUAAGCAUAUCAAUAAGCGGAGGA